RNAcentral lists this ribosomal RNA (380 nucleotides) under uncultured eukaryote. RNAcentral's name for it is "partial 18S ribosomal RNA". It matches the Rfam family "Eukaryotic small subunit ribosomal RNA", at positions 592 to 976 of the family's 1831-position model. The record is from RNAcentral.
CAAUAGCGUAUAUUAAAGUUGUUGCAGUUAAAAAGCUCGUAGUUGGAUUUGUGGCGUACGGUGUGUUCCGGGCACUUGUUGUCUGAGUAACCUGCUGUUGCCAUCCUUGGGUGGAACCUGUGUGGCAUUAGGUCGUCGUGCAGGGGAUGCCCAUCAUUUACUGUGAAAAAAUUAGAGUGUUCAAAGCAGGCUUAUGCCGUUGAAUAUAUUAGCAUGGAAUAAUGAGAUAGGACUUUUUUGCUAUUUUGUUGGUUUGCGCAAGAAGGUAAUGAUUAAUAGGGACAGUUGGGGGUAUUCGUAUUCCAUUGUCAGAGGUGAAAUUCUUGGAUUUUUGGAAGACGAACUACUGCGAAAGCAUUUACCAAGGAUGUUUUCAUUAA